Molecule: non-coding RNA, 203 nt
Organism: Oryza barthii
Lineage: Eukaryota; Viridiplantae; Streptophyta; Magnoliopsida; Poales; Poaceae
Source: Rfam
GACUUUUUUUCCUAGUCUAAACUUCUUUUAAGUUUGACUGAGUUUAUAAAAAAACAUAGCAACGUUUUCAACACAAAACAAACAUGCUAUCAAAAUAUAUACAAUGCUAGAUUUCAUGAAACCAAUUUGGUGCUGUCGAUGCUUCUAAUUUUUUUUAUAAACUUGGUCAAACUUAAAAGAAGUUUGACUAGGAAAAAAAGUCG